Suricata suricatta (meerkat) is the source of this 3302-nucleotide long non-coding RNA. NCBI's taxonomy places the organism in Eukaryota, Metazoa, Chordata, Mammalia, Carnivora, Herpestidae. The record is from Ensembl.
AUGGGCCGCCCGAGGACGAAAAGCGGGACAAAACCGGAAACGGGCCUCGGACUCACGCUCCCGCUUCUUCUCACGGACUUCCGGCCGUUCUGGGCGGCUCGGAGGCUCGGCUGUCUCGAUGGUUCCCAGCCGCGCCGCCCUGGCGCAGAAGGGGCGGGGCUGGGGUCGAGGGAGGAGCGGGUCCGGCGUCUCCCAGACUGGGAUGGUGGAGCAUUUGCAGGCCAAAGGGUGGAGAGGAUCCUGGCAAAGCGGGUGGAGAGCCUGGGGUCGCCCGGGCCUGACCCCCCCCCCCCACCUCAGGGACGCUGGACCCCACACCGGAUCUGUGCCCGGGCUUUUCCACAGAAGGCGGCUCCCGCUGGGCACGUUCCAGGCACCGGACAACGGAGACGCCCGGACCACGGGCGGAGUGGGCACGGAGGAGCGGCUAGCUGGGGAGGAGGGCAGAAGAGCCGAGUGGAGACAGCAGUGAAUGCCUUUGAGAUCUAGGACUGCUUGGCUCAAUGGCUGGUGGGAGAAACCAAUAGACCCGAGGGCCCUGCACAGAAGCAAUUUCCCUAAUCCCCUGAUGAUGGAAAUGUUACCUGAGGAGGUAAGGAGCUGGGAAUCCUAGGAGCAAAAAGGGAGCUGGAAGUAGGUGCCAAGAGGGCCUGAGGAGGUUGGUGAUAGGACCUGUGCCCAGCACAGAGAGACCUUGUCCCCACCCGUCCUGGGCUCUGCAUCAGCACCAGGCUCUUCCUGAGGCCCCAUCUCCUCCCUCUCCUGUCUGACUCCUUUUCUCCUACUCAGGCGCAAGUCCCUCAAAGGCUGAGCCUGUGAUGUUUCUGUCAUGCUUCUCUUCUGUGCUCAACGACCACACGCUCAAUAGAAACCUGUUUGAAAGACUGAGUAAACUCUGAGUCUGCAGAGUUUACUUUAUUGUUUUUUUACUUUAUUUUAUUUUUCUUUAAAGGAACAUAAAAACUAUAAUACAGGAUUUCCAGAAAUUAUAUGGAUUUCCUUCACUCGAAUGGAAGUUCGAGCUUAAUUAGAAUGGAACCGAAAUAUGGAAAAACAUGGCUGAAGCGGUACUCAGAGAUAGGCCUUUCACAAAAUUCACUCUUCCAGAUGUCACUGAUACUUUUGGAUUCUUUUUCAGAGGAAAGCUGCUUCUUGUUAAUGUCUGUUUGAAUACUGCAGUUCACGAAAAGUCAGGGCUCACACCCAUUAGGAUUGCUGCCAUCAAAACAACAAACAAUUGUGGACAAGGAUGUAGAGAAAGGGAACCCUCAUGCACUGCUGGUCGGGGUAUAGAAAGAUGCAGCCACUGUAGAAAACAGUACAGAGGUUCAUCAAAAAAUUAAACACAAUUACUUUAUAACCCAGCAAUUCUAGUUCUGGGUGAAUACACAAAGGAAUUGAAAGCAGGGUCUGGAAGAGAUGUUUGAACACCCACGUUCAUAGCAAUAUUAGUUACAAUUGCCAAAAGGUAGAAGCAAUGCAAGUAUCCAUGACAGAUGAAUGGGCUAAGGGAAAUGUGGUCCAUCCAUACAAUAGAAUAGUAAAUAUUACUCAGCUUUUUAAAUGGAAAGAUAUUCUAUCACAUGCUACAACACUAAUGAAUUCAGAGGACUUAUACUCUGUGAAAUAAGCAGUCACAAAAAGACAAAUACUGUUUUGAUUCUGCUUAGAUGAGGUUCAAAAAUCAUAGCAACAUAAAGUAGAAUGGUAGUUACCAGGAUCUGAGGGAAGAGAAUGAAGAGUUCUAAAGAUGGAGGGUUGUGAUGGGUCCACUAUAUGAAUACACUUAAUACCACCAACCUGUACACUUAAAAAUGGCUGUAAUGGCAAGAUGUAUAUUUUACCACAGGUUUUAAAAAUAAUUGGAAAAUCUCCCUCUCUCUCUGACUCUCCCCUGCUCGCACUCUAUCUCUCUGUCUCUGAAAAAUAAAUAAAAAACAUUAAAAAAAAUUUUUUUAAUAAUUGGAAAAAAAGUCAGGACUGAAAAUUGGCUUUGUGCUUUGAAAAACGGCACCUCUUCAAGUAUAUUCUUAAUUUAGUGAGAAAACCACAUUUUGGAAAUACUCAGAGAUUUGCUAACAAGAUCACCAGCUGAUGCUUUUCCACAGGCUGGAGGCAUAGGGAAACCUAAGCUUGCUUGCUUUCUUGCUUAUUUGUUUAUUUAGUUUAUUUAUUUUGAGAGGCGGGGAGAGAGAGAGAGAGCUGGGCAAGGGCAGCUUGGAGCCUGACACAGGGCUCAAUCCCACAAACCAAGAUCAUGACCUAAGCUGAAAUCAAGAGUCGGACACCACCAGCUGAGCCACCCAGGCACCCCAACCUAAGCUUUUAAAGGCCUUUUAACUGAUUACUCUAGACCUACCAGGAUACUUAAAAUCAAUUGAUUCGGUGCUUUAAUCGCAUCUGCAAGAUCACUUCACAGCAGCAUUUGGCUUAGUGUCUAAGUAUUAAGUAGGUGUGUGAGCUGCAAAUGAUCACCAUUUCCAUCCACUCAAGAAUUCACCUGUAAAGGAAUUAUGGGGGCAGUGUAGCUCGGCCACUUGACACACUCAAAGUAAUUUCAACCACUAGCCUGUGUGGCUCAGUUGGUUAACCGUCCAACUCUUGAUCUCGGCUCAGGUCACGAUCUCCCAUUGCAUGGGAUGGAGCUCUGCUGAGAGCGUAGAACCUGCUUGGGAUUCUCUCUCCUCUCUCUGUGCCUCCCUAACUCAUGCUCUCUCUCUCUCUCUCUCUCUCUAAGAUAAGUAAGCAUUAAAAUUAAAAAAAAAAAAACCAAACUUUUUAAAGAGGCUAGAAAACACACCAAACAUCACAAUAGUGAUCUCUGAAGAGUGAGACAAAGGGCAAGUUUUUACAUUUCUAAGUUUUUGCAUUUCCCAAAUAUCCUACAAUAAAUUUAUAUUUGGGGGGAAAUGACUUAAAAAUUACACAUUCACUGGUCAAAUCUUCAGCUCUGCGUGGGGCUGGUGGCUUCCUUUCUGGCGUACCUUUUAUAAGAUGCCAGGUUCCUGUGGGGGGAGGGGGAUGAAUGAUGAAAAGGGGUCACUAAGAAAUGGCCUCCCUCUCCAGCGGACACCUUCUGUUGACAGGCCUGGUGAGGGAUCACAUUCAGCUUGGCUGGGGCUCCCGAGGCACUGCCUGGUUCUUGCUUCAGCCACUGCCCCUCCAGCUGUGCCUUGGCUUGUCAAGAAACCCACGGUCCACCUGAGAAUUCCAAGCACCCCAUGCCAGGUGCUGUGUGGAUUCUAGUUCUAUGCCCCUCCUCCUCCUCCUAGGUGGCUGGGUCCCCUGCAAACAGUUUGAUC